This 204-nucleotide long non-coding RNA is filed under the name Panax ginseng (ginseng). Its description in RNAcentral is "long non-coding RNA (PGIN_LNC017964)". The record is from RNAcentral. Lineage: Eukaryota; Viridiplantae; Streptophyta; Magnoliopsida; Apiales; Araliaceae.
AGCGUUAUGGUCAUGGUGGAUGCGUAGGUCUCUACACAGUUGAACACAACGAAAGAUGCUUGCAUUUUUUAGUAUUUCCACGUAUUCAGCAUUUCCAAGGAUUUCGUCGGUCCAAUCCUGCCAUCCUUGAAGGCGACUAGAUGAAUCAGAUAGGAAGUGAAGAGGACUGAAAGGGUAUUCUUGCUUCUCUAUGCAUAGGCGGGG